AGAGUUUGAUCCUGGCUCAGGAUAAACGCUGGCGGCGUGCCUAACACAUGCAAGUCGAACGUCCUUCUUCGGGAGGGCGUGGCGGACGGGUGAGGAACACGUGGGAAUCUACCCAGAGGUGAGGAAUACCGGCGAGAAAUCGCCGACAAUACCGCAUACGCUCGCAAGAGCAAAGUCGCAAGACGCCUGUGGAUGAGCCU
This 200-nucleotide ribosomal RNA is filed under the name uncultured bacterium. Its description in RNAcentral is "partial 16S ribosomal RNA". It matches the Rfam family "Bacterial small subunit ribosomal RNA", at positions 8 to 232 of the family's 1533-position model. The record is from RNAcentral.